AACGAACGCUGGCGGCAUGCCUAACACAUGCAAGUCGAACGAAGGCUUCGGCCUUAGUGGCGCACGGGUGCGUAACGCGUGGGAAUCUGCCCAAAGGUACGGAAUAACUCCUCGAAAGGGGUGCUAAUACCGUAUGAUGUCGCAAGACCAAAGAUUUAUCGCCUUUGGAGGAGCCCGCGUAGGAUUAGGUAGUUGGUGAGGUAAAGGCUCACCAAGCCGACGAUCCUUAGCUGGUCUGAGAGGAUGAUCAGCCACACUGGGGACUGAGACACGGCCCAGACUCCUACGGGAGGCAGCAGUGGGGAAUAUUGGACAAUGGGCGAAAGCCUGAUCCAGCAAUGCCGCGUGAGUGAUGAAGGCCUUAGGGUUGUGAAGCUCUUUUACCCGGGAAGGAUAAUGACUGUACCGGGAGGAAUAAGACCCCGGCCUAACUCCGUGCCAGCAGCCGCGGUAAU
Molecule: ribosomal RNA, 455 nt
Filed under: uncultured bacterium
Lineage: Bacteria
Description: bacterial SSU rRNA
Rfam family: Bacterial small subunit ribosomal RNA
Source: RNAcentral